CCACUGCAUCCGACACUAUGACAAGAGAGAAUGAGUUUGAACGAUAGGGAAGAGGAAACUUGAUAUCAGCUACUCGCACUAUUCCCUUAUAAACAAGACUCUUGCAAGUUUCAUCAGUUUCAUCUAACUCGUAGGGUUCAACACCCCAUGCUUCAGUACCCUCCUUUUUUAACAGUGUAGACACCACUGAACAAGCGUCAGGGCCUACGUGCAAUACUUUUUGCAUGCUGUCACCAUAGGCUUUCUGUAAUAUAGGCAAUGCCCUCUGAAGUUCUGAUGUGCAUGAAACACCACCUUCAUGUCUACUGAAAGCAUCAACAGCUCCACCUGAACCGUGAUACAAAUAACCAAUAAUCAACAAUGCUCCCACAACCACAAGUCCUAUAGACAAUAAAGGAGAUGGACGUGAU
RNAcentral lists this unclassified non-coding RNA (410 nucleotides) under Hevea brasiliensis (rubber tree). Lineage: Eukaryota; Viridiplantae; Streptophyta; Magnoliopsida; Malpighiales; Euphorbiaceae. The record is from RNAcentral.